UAAGGAAUAUUGGUCAAUGGGCGCAAGCCUGAACCAGCCAUGCCGCGUGCAGGAGGAAGGCCCUACGGGUUGUAAACUGCUUUUAUCUGGGGAUAAACCUUACUAUGCGUAGUAAGCUGAAGGUACCAGAUGAAUAAGGAUCGGCUAACUCCGUGCCAGCAGCCGCGGUAAUACGGAGGAUCCGAGCGUUAUCCGGAUUUAUUGGGUUUAAAGGGUGCGUAGGCGGCUCAUUAAGUCAGUGGUGAAAGGUAACCGCUUAACGGGGACACUGCCAUUGAUACUGAUGAGCUGGAGUACAGAUGAAGUGGGCGGAAUGUGUCAAGUAGCGGUGAAAUGCAUAGAUAUGACACAGAACACCAAUUGCGAAGGCAGCUCACUAAAGUGUAACUGACGCUGAGGCACGAAAGCGUGGGGAUCGAACA
Molecule: ribosomal RNA, 422 nt
Filed under: uncultured bacterium
Lineage: Bacteria
Description: bacterial SSU rRNA
Rfam family: Bacterial small subunit ribosomal RNA
Source: RNAcentral